RNAcentral lists this transfer RNA (76 nucleotides) under Candidatus Bathyarchaeota archaeon RBG_13_52_12. RNAcentral's name for it is "tRNA-Arg". It matches the Rfam family "tRNA". Rfam says of the family: Transfer RNA (tRNA) molecules are approximately 80 nucleotides in length. Their secondary structure includes four short double-helical elements and three loops (D, anti-codon, and T loops). RNAcentral also lists the same sequence under 1 other name. The record is from RNAcentral. Lineage: Archaea; Thermoproteati; Candidatus Bathyarchaeota.
GAGCCCGUAGCCCAGCGGAUAAGGCGUCGGCCUCCGGAGCCGGAGAGCGUGGGUUCGAAUCCCACCGGGCUCGCCA